RNAcentral lists this ribosomal RNA (486 nucleotides) under uncultured bacterium. RNAcentral's name for it is "partial 16S ribosomal RNA". It matches the Rfam family "Bacterial small subunit ribosomal RNA", at positions 30 to 507 of the family's 1533-position model. The record is from RNAcentral.
AUUGAACGCUGGCGGCAUGCCUUACACAUGCAAGUCGAACGGCAGCACGGGUGCUUGCACCUGGUGGCGAGUGGCGAACGGGUGAGUAAUACAUCGGAACAUGUCCUGUAGUGGGGGAUAGCCCGGCGAAAGCCGGAUUAAUACCGCAUACGAUCUACGGAUGAAAGCGGGGGACCUUCGGGCCUCGCGCUAUAGGGUUGGCCGAUGGCUGAUUAGCUAGCUGGUGGGGUAAAGGCCUACCAAGGCGACGAUCAGUAGCUGUUCUGAGAGGACGACCAGCCACACUGGUACUAGGACACGGCCCAGACUCCUACGGGAGGCAGCAGUGGGGAAUUUUGGACAAUGGGCGAAAGCCUGAUCCAGCAAUGCCGCGUGUGUGAAGAAGGCCUUCGGGUUGUAAAGCACUUUUGUCCGGAAAGAAAUCCUUGGCCCUAAUACGGUCGGGGGAUGACGGUACCGGAAGAAUAAGCACCGGCUAACUACGUG